Molecule: non-coding RNA, 23 nt
Filed under: Arabidopsis thaliana (thale cress)
Lineage: Eukaryota; Viridiplantae; Streptophyta; Magnoliopsida; Brassicales; Brassicaceae
Source: RNAcentral
GGGCAGUUAAAAAAGAGGUGAUC